This 516-nucleotide unclassified non-coding RNA is filed under the name Hevea brasiliensis (rubber tree). Lineage: Eukaryota; Viridiplantae; Streptophyta; Magnoliopsida; Malpighiales; Euphorbiaceae. The record is from RNAcentral.
GCAUUCCAUAACACCAUGUUUAGCAAAGGAGGAGAAUAUAAGAGUGGAAAAUAAUAGAAAUUGAUUUGCCUUGUUGGGAGAAAAGGAGGAAAAAUAAGGAGGAAAAGAAAGUGAGUAGAAACUAACUUAAAUUCCCCCCCUGGGCCCACCAAAUCUAAUCUCUCAAAUUGGACAGAGUGUAAAGAAAAUUUAAAAUUUUACUUAUUUAUCGUUCAUUUAAAACUUAUUUUACAAAACAUUAUGGUCAAUAUUGUAAUUUUAAUAAUUUUCUUUCCUAGUUUUCCUCCUUAUAUUUUCUUUCGAUCCAAACAAAACGGAGAAAAUAACUUUCUCUUUAUUUUCUCCCCACUCAUAUUUUGCUCCUUAAUUCUCCUUCCUCCCACUUUCUCCACUUCCAAAGACAGUACUCCUUUAAAUUUGCAGUACCAGCUACAAUUUUUUGCUACUAAUUAAUCAUAUAAUAUGGAAACAAGUAAAGAUGUCUUUGUUGUGAUGCCAUUAUGCUAACUUUUUCAA